UCCUAGGGGGUUCGAUUCCUUCCUUUC
This 27-nucleotide transfer RNA is filed under the name Martes americana caurina. Its description in RNAcentral is "partial tRNA-Ser". The record is from RNAcentral. Lineage: Eukaryota; Metazoa; Chordata; Mammalia; Carnivora; Mustelidae.